Molecule: non-coding RNA, 74 nt
Organism: Paramuricea clavata
Lineage: Eukaryota; Metazoa; Cnidaria; Anthozoa; Malacalcyonacea; Plexauridae
Source: the annotation of a GenBank genome assembly
UACCUCGUAGCUCAGUUGGCAGAGCAUUGAACUGUGAUUCCCAAAGGUUGCGGGUUCGAUUCCCACCGUGGAAC